GGACCCGCACAAGUAGUGGAGCAUGUGGUUUAAUUCGAAGAUACGCGCAGAACCUUACCAACACUUGACAUGUUCGUCGCGACUUUAAGAGAUUAAAGUUUUCGGUUCGGCCGGACGAAACACAGGUGCUGCAUGGCUGUCGUCAGCUCGUGUCGUGAGAUGUUGGUUAAGUCCCGCAACGAGCGCAACCCUCACUUUUAGUUGCCAUCAUUUAGUUGGGCACUCUGAAAGAACUGCCAGUGAUAAGCUGGAGGAAGGUGGGGAUGACGUCAAGUCCUCAUGGCCCUUACGUGUUGGGCUACACACGUGCUACAAUGGUAUCUACAGUGGGUUAAUCCCCAAAAGAUGUCU
RNAcentral lists this ribosomal RNA (351 nucleotides) under uncultured bacterium. RNAcentral's name for it is "bacterial SSU rRNA". It matches the Rfam family "Bacterial small subunit ribosomal RNA", at positions 917 to 1288 of the family's 1533-position model. The record is from RNAcentral.